AUGGCCACUUACUCAGGAGGAGUCAAUACCGAGGGGAACAAUCAGACUGUUCUAAGCACAUUACCCAAGGAACUGCCGUUAGACUUCUUGAGGACUAUCACAGAUCAGUUCUCAGACAAGCGCAUUCUUGGUACAGGUGCAUUUGGAACGGUUUAUACGGGAGUUAUGCCAGAUAGACAAAGGAUUGCCGUGAAGAAGCUUGCGGAGAGUGCACCGGUUUCACGCGACAAAGCAUUUACCAAUGAGGUUCAAAAUAUCAUGGCUCUCCACCAUAAAAAUGUGGUCAAGUUGGUCGGGUACUACCAUGAAGGACAAAAGAAAGUUGUUCAAAACAAUGGAAGAUAUAUUGUUGCAGACGUUUAUGAAAGUCUACUCUGCUACGAAUAUUUACCUAUGGGAAGCCUUCAGAAGAACCUUUUUGACGAACCCGUUAACAUGGCUUGGGACGUGCGCUUCAAAAUAAUUAAGGGGAUCUGCAAUGGUUUACUCUUUCUUCAUAGGAUUCCUAUUAUCUAUAUGGAUUUGAAGCCUGAAAAUAUACUGUUGGACAAUAACAUGAUACCAAAAAUCGCGGAUUUUGGACUUUCCAAGCUCUUUGGCCAAGAACAAACACGGGCAAACACACAGAAUGUUGUGGGAUCAUACGGAUACAUAGCCCCAGAAUACCUAUACAGAGGUGAAAUCUCCGCUCAGUCAGAUAUAUAUAGUUUAGGCCUAUUAAUCAUCGAGACUACCACCGGCGAGAAGAAUAACCCCAAACAGAACGAACCGUCAGCAAGGGAGUUUAUUGAAAGAGUACGUCAAAAUUGGACAGAAGGACACAUAGCGUCCAGAUACUCAAAGUUAAAUGCAAAUGGCCUCCAGGAAGUAAAAGUAUCCAUUGAAAUUGGUCUAGAUUGUGUGCGCAUUGAUCGGAAGAGCAGACCCUCAAUCGAAAGCAUUGUUCAGAGGCUCGAUGGACGCUGUGCAAGCGAAAGGGCAAACCAGUUCUCCACUACUUCCAUGCGAGCAUAA
This 1014-nucleotide ribosomal RNA is filed under the name Triticum aestivum (bread wheat). RNAcentral's name for it is "partial small subunit ribosomal RNA". Lineage: Eukaryota; Viridiplantae; Streptophyta; Magnoliopsida; Poales; Poaceae. The record is from RNAcentral.